This 387-nucleotide ribosomal RNA is filed under the name uncultured Planctomycetota bacterium. RNAcentral's name for it is "bacterial SSU rRNA". It matches the Rfam family "Bacterial small subunit ribosomal RNA", at positions 444 to 836 of the family's 1533-position model. Lineage: Bacteria; Pseudomonadati; Planctomycetota. The record is from RNAcentral.
UUCGCAAUGCCCGAAAGGGUCUGACCUAUCCCUGGAGGAAGCACGGGCUAAGUUCGUGCCAGCAGCCGCGGUAAGACGAACCGUGCGAACGUUGUUCGGAAUCACUGGGCUUAAAGGGCGCGUAGGCGGGCCGCAAAGUCAGGGGUGAAAUCCUCCAGCUCAACUGGAGAACUGCCUUUGAUACUGGCGGCCUGGAGUAAGGUAGGGGCAUGCGGAACUGAUGGUGGAGCGGUGAAAUGUGUUGAUAUCAUCAGGAACUCCGGUGGCGAAAGCGGCGUGCUGGACCUUUACUGGCGCUGAGGCGCGAAAGCCAGGGGAGCAAACGGGAUUAGAUACCCCGGUAGUCCUGGCCCUAAACGAUGGGCACUAAGUAGAGGGGUUUUAAUC